ACUGCACUCCUCUCCCUUUCCCUGUCCCUGAGGUCCAGCUCAGUGGCAUGGACGCUGUUCCCUGUGGCUGAGAUCCUCUGGCUGUAAGGCCCAGCUUCUCCUGGCAGAGACUUGGGAAAAGAGAGCGCUGAGCAUGCUUCUGUCUCCUCCCUCAGUGUUUCUGCCCCAGUGAGAAGGUUGAGUAGUGCUUUGCCAGCAUGCUUUCGGGGCAAUUUUGACGCAGACGUCGUGCGCCAGCAGUGAGAAAUUUCUGUGCAUUUUACUUUCUGGACAUCAACAGGGCGCAUGCGGAAACACGAGGGGGUUUGUGCCUGCAGGCCGGGAUGCUUCAGGGCUCCCUGGUCCAUCACCAUUUGUUCUGGAGCUGCUCCGGUCAGUGAAUGACUUUCUGUGGUUUGGAGCUGAGCCUGAGGGGCUGUGUUCAGCCUCUGUCAUCUGUCACUGUCCUGCUGAGACUGGUUGCCAAGCUGGGGCUCAGAGGUUCCAGGGAAUCUCACUUCCUGCCAAGGCAGCCAACAGACACCGCCCAGGUAACACUACCCACACAAGAACGAGUGGGUAGACUUCAAGACCCACCGAAGGGUCAUGGGCCUCGUCACCAUCACUGACCGCUUGGCCAAGGACUGGCUGCAGAUAGAGGAGCUCCCUGUGCAGAGGAGAUGUGUGGCAACACGCAGGACGAUUCAUGGCUCUUCGUCUUUGUGCUGAAGGGCGAGCUCGCUGAGCAGCUGCGCACUGAUGUGGCCUUGUACCCCAGCUAAGAGGACUGUGGGGUGGUGGAGAAGAGGAUCAAGGACUUCAUCAAGUCUCUCUUCAUCAUGCUAGAGUCCGAGCACCUGGACAGGGCCACCAACAAUUUUGGGGACAACAUCCCCCUCCUCUGCAUCCCAUUUGAGAAUAAGGACUUGGUGGGACUGGACACAGCAGGUGCCCUCACCUCCAGCGACAUUAAUCCAGACACCAGCACUGACACUGGCUGUGCUCAGAACUGCCCCAGCCUUGAAGACACAAGUGACAAAUAGAAGGGGGCCACGCCCUGUUCCAGCAAGUGCUCUCAAUUUUUGGGUCCUUAUGUAACUGCGUGGUGUUAUUCAGGAUCACCCGUUCUACAUUGUGUGACGCUGCUGCCAUGUAUCCUAGUUACUUGUUUCUGAGAAUUACGGCCUGCUGCUUGAGUGUUUGAUCAGGAUAAAUGAUUUGUUUCUAUAAGAUGCCAUGUACAGUCACAAGCUCAGUGAGAAAUGGGCUGUCACCUCUUCAUCUGCAACUCAGUGCUCGACAGGACAUCGGGGCAAAGCCAGUCCGUAAUUUGUUUGUGAUGCAACUGUCCACGUGGGUCAAAUCAUGGUGCCCCUCUAAAACCUCCAAAAAAAAAACAAAGUUGAUUCUCUAUUUUGCAACUUGCCAUCUCUACAUAAGUGCAGAAGAGUUAACAUCGUGAAAGAUCAGAGCCCGGAGAAUAGGCUCUCCUGGAUAUUUCAGGCUAAAGGCAACUUUCUUUUACAAAAGGAUCUGAGGAGCAGGAGCAAGGAACGCAGGGAGAGAUCCAGGAAGACAUCUGACUGUGUUUAGAGACGACAGUCACAGCCACACGGGGAGCGAGGACACUUGCAGCAAAGUAAAACGGCUUCACAACUAUUGCAUCAGAGCUGCCGGUGUGAGAGAGCCUAAGCCUGUCUCAGAGUGCAGGGGACAAGCGGAAAGGAAUGUGUAAGAAUGCUGGUGACUGAGUUAGAAGCAUGCUUCGAAGCUGUCUGUGUCCUUGCCAUCCAGAAGCGGAGCCUGGGAACUUCCGAAUUUCUCCAGAAUGCGGUUUACAUUCAUCUUCGACAGGGCCUGCAACAUGAGCAUCCCUGACUACGUUCAGAGUGCUGAGGACUACAAGACUUCCACAUGGUGGUCCAAGCCGUUGGGAUCAUCUCAGAGGAGAAUUUCUUUUGCAUUUAUAAGCAAAUCUCCUUGGUGAGCUGGAUCAUCCCCUGCGGCUCCCAGUGGGCACUCUGUAUCUACUACAGGCACCACUAUGCGCCCGAGAAUGGGUGGAGCGAACUCCAGAACAACCACAAGGUCGUGUGCCUUGUCACCAUUGCGGAGUGCCUCUUGGCCAAGGCCUUCGAUAAGCUCCACGUGCAGAGGAGCUGUAUGGCACCACCAUGCUUAAUGACUCUCAGCUCUUUCUCUUUGUGCUGCAUGGGGAGGUAGCCGAGCAGACACGCACCGACGUGGCGUUCAAUCUACAAGGACUGCAGUGUGGUGAAGAGGAUCGAGGGCUUCACUGAGUUACACUUCAUCUUGCUCAAGUUUAAGUGGCUGGAUGGGGCCCCCGACAAAUCUGGGGACAAGAUCCCACUCCUCUGCAUCCUGUUUGAGAAGGAGGACUUCAUGGGACUGGACACAGACUGAAGGGCCCUGUGAUCUACAUGUCCGCACUCCCCUUCUGCUCCUUGGAGAUGAGGUGGCAGGUUUAGGAGCCUGGGCACUGCUGAAGGCACAGCUGCCAGCACCGGGCUUCUCCCAGACUGGCUCCGUUCACUUCACCUGUCACCUCCUGCUGAGCCCCGAGGCGUUAGUCCAGUAACAAAGAAACAAGACAGAAAAAGCAGAGGAUGGUUUCUGUUCUUCCUCUCGGCUUGCAGGUGCCCUCACCUCCAGUGGCAUCCAUCCAGACACCAGCAUUGAAACUGGCCAUGCUCAGAACUGCCUCAGCCCUGAAGACACAACUGACAAAUAGAAGGGGGCCAUGCCCUGUUACAGCAGGUGCUCUCGCUUUGUGGGUCCUUAUGUAACUGCACGUUGUUAUUCAGGAUCGCCCGUUCUACAUUGUGUGACACUGCUGUGGUGUCUCCUAGUUAUUUGUUUCUGAUCUGAGAAGCAGGAGCAAGGAACUCAGGGAGAGAUCCAGGAAGACAUCUGACUCUGUUAAGAGACGACAGUCACAGUGACACGGGGAGCGAAGACACUUGCAGCAAAGCAAAAUGACUUCACAACGAUUGCAUCAGAGCUGCAGGUGUGAGAGAGUCUAAGCCUGUCUCAGAGUGCAGGGGACAAGUGGAAAGGAAUGUGUAAGAAUGCCGGUGACUCAGUUAGAAGCAUGCUUCGAAGCUGUCCGUGUACUUGCCAUCCAGAAGCAGAGCCUGGGAGCUUCCGAAUUUCUCCAGAAUGCGGUUUACAUUCA
Molecule: long non-coding RNA, 3175 nt
Organism: Camelus dromedarius (Arabian camel)
Lineage: Eukaryota; Metazoa; Chordata; Mammalia; Artiodactyla; Camelidae
Exons: 14
Source: RefSeq, a predicted model, not a curated record